UACGUAGGGUGCGAGCGUUAAUCGGAAUUACUGGGCGUAAAGCGUGCGCAGGCGGUUCGUUGUGUCCGUCGUGAAAGCCCCGGGCUUAACCUGGGAACUGCGAUGGAAACUAGCGAGCUGGAGUGUGGCAGAGGGGGGUGGAAUUCCGCGUGUAGCAGUGAAAUGCGUAGAUAUGUGGAGGAACACCGAUGGCGAAGGCAGCCCCCUGGGUUAACACUGACGCUCAUGCACGAAAGCGUGGGGAGCAAACAGG
RNAcentral lists this ribosomal RNA (253 nucleotides) under uncultured bacterium. RNAcentral's name for it is "partial 16S ribosomal RNA". It matches the Rfam family "Bacterial small subunit ribosomal RNA", at positions 524 to 776 of the family's 1533-position model. The record is from RNAcentral.